GUGAACACGGCCUAAAGCUUACGAUUAAGAUUUGGAACAAGCAGAGCCGUCAAUUAGAAGCAUUCUAAGUCACGCCUAUACUUGUAAUUUCACAAUUCCCUUUAUCUCGAACAUCGAGCACGAAACUCGCCAGCCUAAAGUGACGGUACCACCGGCCGCCAUCUCACCAUCUGACCUACUACAGCCAGUCAAUUGGCAGAACAUUGGAAAAUAUAUAUAAUUAUAGAAUAGUAACGGAGAAUUUAAAGUUGAUGUGUCGGUUGUAAAGACAUCAGAAUUGGGCACUGACAUCAGAAAGACAACAUAAUUUUCUCGUACACCGUGAACCAGAAGCGAUUCAAGUUAAAUGGAACAAGCGCAGAUUAACGUGCAAGAAGAAAAAACGAUACGGCUUCGUCACACCGGAAUUUAAGAUGCUAAUACACGAUAAAAAUAUUGUUGAAAUAAAGAAGAGAACUUUUAAAUUAAUAAUUUUGGAUUCAAUCUUCAUUACAGUGUUCAUAAUUAAACCACAAUCCGGAGAUUAAGACCGUACGUUUAAUUUAAUAUGCACAAAACCUGAA
Molecule: long non-coding RNA, 563 nt
Organism: Danaus plexippus (monarch butterfly)
Lineage: Eukaryota; Metazoa; Arthropoda; Insecta; Lepidoptera; Nymphalidae
Exons: 3
Source: RefSeq, a predicted model, not a curated record